Molecule: transfer RNA, 74 nt
Filed under: Pseudomonadales bacterium
Lineage: Bacteria; Pseudomonadati; Pseudomonadota; Gammaproteobacteria; Pseudomonadales
Also listed under: 1 other name
Description: tRNA-Ala
Rfam family: tRNA
About the family: Transfer RNA (tRNA) molecules are approximately 80 nucleotides in length. Their secondary structure includes four short double-helical elements and three loops (D, anti-codon, and T loops). Further hydrogen bonds mediate the characteristic L-shaped molecular structure. tRNAs have two regions of fundamental functional importance: the anti-codon, which is responsible for specific mRNA codon recognition, and the 3' end, to which the tRNAs corresponding amino acid is attached (by aminoacyl-tRNA synthetases). tRNAs cope with the degeneracy of the genetic code in two manners: having more than one tRNA (with a specific anti-codon) for a particular amino acid; and 'wobble' base-pairing, i.e. permitting non-standard base-pairing at the 3rd anti-codon position.
Source: RNAcentral
GGGCCCUUAGCUCAGGUGGCUAGAGCGCCUGUUUUGCAAUCAGGAGGCCAAGGGUUCGACUCCCUUAGGGUCCA